CUGGACAAUGUCUGAGAUUCUGCAGUUCCAACAAACUCUCAGGUGAUGCCCAUGAGGCUAAUAUGGAAACGGAUACGUGAGAUGUUUUCUUCCUAAUUUGUAAUACAAUGUGUCUCAACAGGGGGAAUGAGGACGGGGGAGAAAAGAAGGUGUGGAUAAAAUGUACAGAUUUCAUAUGCCCUUUGGGUGAUUCCAAUAUUCUUGUCGUCUUAAGAACCACAGAUAAAAGUGCCAUGUGAAAAAGAAGAGAGAUUACAGGUUUAGGAGAGAAGCGAUCAUUGGCAGAACAAGAUCCUAUGGAAGG
This 304-nucleotide long non-coding RNA is filed under the name Piliocolobus tephrosceles (Ugandan red Colobus). Its description in RNAcentral is "lncRNA (ENSPTEG00000007844.1)". Lineage: Eukaryota; Metazoa; Chordata; Mammalia; Primates; Cercopithecidae. The record is from RNAcentral.